Molecule: unclassified non-coding RNA, 359 nt
Filed under: Hevea brasiliensis (rubber tree)
Lineage: Eukaryota; Viridiplantae; Streptophyta; Magnoliopsida; Malpighiales; Euphorbiaceae
Source: RNAcentral
GUCUCCAAUUUCCUUAAUUGCAGUAUUGAUAGAGUGUGAAGCAGCAAGCCAUUGAUCAGUUUGCUUUCCAAAUCGAAAAAUGCUUGCAGUUAAAGCACGAAUUUCCAUUUCAAUCCUCUUUUCCAUUACAAACGCUUCUUGUACUUCUCUAUUCACUGAAUCCACCAGCAGCUCCGAAACCCGCCUUGCAUUACGAAUCCCAUCCUUCUUCGCCUUCUCGGUGGAUUCACGGAGCUUGAGAGAUGAAGAAUGGUGGGAGUUGAUGAUUCGAAUGAGUGAAGCUUCUAAGCCAUGAGGAUCUACUUGCUUCGACCGAUCCAUCUUCUCCCCCAAAGUGACACUGCAAUGGCAGCUCGAAG